This 138-nucleotide small nucleolar RNA is filed under the name Ornithorhynchus anatinus (platypus). Lineage: Eukaryota; Metazoa; Chordata; Mammalia; Monotremata; Ornithorhynchidae. The record is from RNAcentral.
CCCCUUUCAGGAUCACACCUGGAGAGUUUCCAGCACUCUACUGGUCUCGGCUAUGGGAGGGAGAGUCAAGCAGAGGCCUACCCAUUCCAUUCCUAGCUUGGGCAGUGGCUAGUGAGUAGAAGGCAAUGUGCUACAAGU